CCUACGGGUGGCAGCAGGGAGGAAGAGUGGGCAAGGGGCGGGAGCCUGAACCAGCCAAGCCGCGGGAAGGAAGAAGGCGCCAGGAGGCGUAAACUUCUUUUGUCGGGGAACAAAGGGCGCCACGCGUGGCGUUGUGAGUGUACCCGAUGAAAAAGCAUCGGCUAACUCCGUGCCAGCAGCCGCGGUAAUACGGAGGAUGCGAGCGUUAUCCGGAUUUAUUGGGGUUAAAGGGUGCGUAGGCGGCCCGGAAAGUCAGCGGGAAAAGCCCGGGGCUCAACCCCGGCGAGCCGUUGAAACUGUCGGACUAGAGGCGGCGAGAGGUACGCGGAAUGCGCGGUGUAGCGGUGAAAUGCAUAGAUAUCGCGCAGAACUCCGAUUGCGAAGGCAGCGUACCGG
Molecule: ribosomal RNA, 396 nt
Filed under: uncultured bacterium
Lineage: Bacteria
Description: partial 16S ribosomal RNA
Rfam family: Bacterial small subunit ribosomal RNA
Source: RNAcentral